RNAcentral lists this ribosomal RNA (510 nucleotides) under uncultured bacterium. RNAcentral's name for it is "partial 16S ribosomal RNA". It matches the Rfam family "Bacterial small subunit ribosomal RNA", at positions 28 to 507 of the family's 1533-position model. The record is from RNAcentral.
GACGAACGCUGGCGGCGUGCUUAACACAUGCAAGUCGAACGAAGAGCGACGGAAGCUUGCUUCUAUCAAUCUUAGUGGCGAACGGGUGAGUAACGCGUAAUCAACCUGCCCUUCAGAGGGGGACAACAGUUGGAAAUGACUGCUAAUACCGCAUACGAUCUAAUCUCGGCAUCGAGGAUGGAUGAAAGGUGGCCUCUACAUGUAAGCUAUCACUGAAGGAGGGGAUUGCGUCUGAUUAGCUAGUUGGAGGGGUAACGGCCCACCAAGGCGAUGAUCAGUAGCCGGUCUGAGAGGAUGAACGGCCACAUUGGGACUGAGACACGGCCCAGACUCCUACGGGAGGCAGCAGUGGGGAAUCUUCCGCAAUGGACGAAAGUCUGACGGAGCAACGCCGCGUGAGUGAUGACGGCCUUUGGGUUGUAAAGCUCUGUUAAUCGGGACGAAAGGCCUUCUUGCGAAUAGUGAGAAGGAUUGACGGUACCGGAAUAGAAAGCCACGGCUAACUACGUG